GGUGUCAGAAGUAGUGUUUUGUGAUGUCUGUGGUUCCCUAAGACAUUAUUGGCUAGAAUGAACAAGUUGCUCACCAAUAAAAUGGAAGGACUUGGCUUUUCAUUGUGCUGAGAAUGAGUUUAUAGGUGUGUCAGGAGCUCCUGGGCAGACCAGUUCUUGGUUUCAUCAUGACUAAAGUGACCAGAAAAUCACUGAAGCAAAACUGGGCUAAAGUAACAUUGACUCCAAGGACUAAAAGGAGGAAGAAACGGAAGCCAUUUAUUCCACUAAGAUGUCAAUUACAUUUCAAGGUACCAAGGACAAGAGUGAAGACAAAACGAUCCCUAGGAUGCACAAGGAAAAAAGUUCAAACAUACAAUGUUCAUCCAAAAAAGCGUAAAAGAUCAAUAAGACCAACAAUAUAUGUUUGUUAUCAUAUGUUAAGUAGGAAGUGGAAAGAAAGGAGGGAAAGGAGACGAAAUAAAAGACAGUAUCAGUCUAAGAAAAGGAGUCAACUUAAGAGAAGAUGUCAAAGUAAGAAACAAAAUAAAAAAUAAGACCCAUAUAUAGCUAUCUUCAGAAUAAAGCCCUGGAUAAGUUUGUCACUUCAAAUGAAGACCAACAUACCAAAAAGAUAAAAGAACUUGCCAAAGUUUGUAGCAUUUCUUGGAGCCUGAAAAUGGUUUAGUAUAAAAAGAUUAAAUCAUAUAUCAACAGGGCAUAAUGAUGAUUGCGGUAAAAAUAAAAUGAAGUUCUAGGAAGGUAA
This is a non-coding RNA of Rattus norvegicus (Norway rat), 745 nucleotides long. The record is from RefSeq and is a predicted model, not a curated record. Lineage: Eukaryota; Metazoa; Chordata; Mammalia; Rodentia; Muridae.